GACGAACGCUGGCGGCGUGCUUAACACAUGCAAGUCGAACGGAAAGGCACUGCUUUUGUGGGGUUCUCGAGUGGCGAACGGGUGAGUAACACGUGAGUAACCUGCCCUAGACUUUGGGAUAACUUCAGGAAACUGGGGCUAAUACCGGAUAGGAGACCCUGCUGCAUGGUGGGGGUUGGAAAGUUUCGGCGGUUUGGGAUGGACUCGCGGCUUAUCAGCUUGUUGGUGGGGUAGGGGCUUACCAAGGCUUUGACGGGUAGCCGGCCUGAGAGGGUGACCGGCGACAUUGGGCCUGAGAUACGGCCCAGAGUCCUACGGGAGGCAGCAGUGGGGAGUAUUGCACAGUGGGCGGAAGCCUGAUGCAGCAACGCCGCGUGCGGGAUGACGUCCUUCGGGUUGUAAACCGCUUUCGCCUGUGACGAAGCGUGAGUGACGGUAAUGGGUAAAGAAGCACCGGCUAACUACGUG
Molecule: ribosomal RNA, 468 nt
Filed under: uncultured bacterium
Lineage: Bacteria
Description: partial 16S ribosomal RNA
Rfam family: Bacterial small subunit ribosomal RNA
Source: RNAcentral